Molecule: long non-coding RNA, 535 nt
Organism: Esox lucius (northern pike)
Lineage: Eukaryota; Metazoa; Chordata; Actinopteri; Esociformes; Esocidae
Exons: 3
Source: RefSeq, a predicted model, not a curated record
UCCUAACAGGGAAAUAUCCGAAAAAUGUGUGUGUGUAUAUAUAUACACAUUUCCAUGACAGCAUUACAACAAGUUCAAGCUUUCAAUUCAGCUUUAUUGCAUUGCUAUGCUGUUCCUCCAGUCUUUGUAGACUGCCAUGGCUGUGCUGAAUGAGUGACUCACAUGGAUAACGACCACUGGUCUCUGUGACUGUGUCAUUCUCCCACACACUGUGACCGGUGGCAGGAGAAGCACACGGCCAGAGGCAGCUGACCCCUGAACAGGACCACUGUUUAAGGCCACAGAGGAGCUAUUCUCUAGCUGGGACACAAACAAUGUGGAGACAUUCUGAAUUAACACAGAUCAUGAAGGGUUGUAUGGGCAGAAUGGUCUGGAUUCAAAUGUCUCUUGAUCUUCAGCCAGAUGCAGUCACAGCCCCACUGACCUUCACCACUCCAUUUGGAGACUGAUGGGUCAUUGAUGGGUCAUGUUUGAGAGGAACAGAUCAUGACUUGACAAAGAUCAAUUUCGAUCUCAGCAUAGUCUGUUCUAAUGU